This is a long non-coding RNA of Sander lucioperca (pikeperch), 272 nucleotides long. RefSeq lists it as uncharacterized. The transcript is spliced from 4 exons. The record is from RefSeq and is a predicted model, not a curated record. Lineage: Eukaryota; Metazoa; Chordata; Actinopteri; Perciformes; Percidae.
AUGAAUUUCACAGAUAAGUUGAAUAAUACAUAGUUAUUUUUUUUUAAUCUUAUUUAUUCGGGACAGUGCACAUUAAUGAACAAUCUAACAUUUCUGUACAGACUGUAAAUGAGCCAGGUUAUAGCAUAAAUGCUAAUUUUCACCUGUAGUCCAGUUCACCUGUAAAGUAACACAAUACACACAAGAUUUUGGUAACUCCAUGAACAAAAUUCCAUUCACCACCAUUGAAUUGGAAAAAAGACAGAAAUCUCAAAGCAUAGAUGCAUAAAACC